Molecule: ribosomal RNA, 433 nt
Filed under: uncultured bacterium
Lineage: Bacteria
Description: partial 16S ribosomal RNA
Rfam family: Bacterial small subunit ribosomal RNA
Source: RNAcentral
AACGAACGCUGGCGGCAUGCCUAACACAUGCAAGUCGAACGAGACAUUCGGGUUUGCUGGCGCACUCGUGCGUAACGCGUGGGGACAUGCCCAUAAAUUCGCCAUAUAUCCGCGAAUAGCGUGCUAAUACCGGCUAUUAUCUUCCGUCCAUAGGUUGAUCGCCUUUGGAUGGGCUCCGGUUGGAUUACCUAGUUGGUAGGGUAAAAGCCUACAACUGCGUCGAUCCAUAGCUGGCCAGAGAGGAUGAGCAGCCACACUGGUACUGAGACACGGCCAAGAAUCUUACGGGAUGGAGCAGUGGGGAAUAUUGGACAAUCGGGGGUAGGAUGAAGCAGCUCGGACGGGUGAGUGAUGAAGGUCGUAGGGUUGUAAAGCUAGUUUAUCCGGGACGAUAAUGACGGUACCGGGAGAAUAAGCUCCGGCUAACUCCGUG